Long non-coding RNA from Ctenopharyngodon idella (grass carp), 5491 nucleotides. RefSeq lists it as uncharacterized. Lineage: Eukaryota; Metazoa; Chordata; Actinopteri; Cypriniformes; Xenocyprididae. The record is from RefSeq and is a predicted model, not a curated record. The transcript has 8 exons.
GAUUUCGUCAUGUGAUACUUACAUAAAUCUCUGUGGGAAACAAGUUGUGUCACUUUGCCUUCACAACAUUGAAGAGGAGCAUUACUAAAUAAAAUGGCUACAACAUCCUGUAAGAACUGUGGGUUGAUGAAAAACUACAAUGGAACAUUACCGUAUAGAUGUAAGUGUGAACCUGAGGAACAGCCCAACCCUUUUUCUCUGGCAUUGCUUCAGUCAAACAGUAGCAUCCAGAGGUCCAUGGUCGUACCAACAAACGGGGCAAUGACUCGACAUUACAACAACAUUGAGCAAGGUGUUCAAACAUAUCAACGUGUAGUCAUGAAGAACGGCCGGGCUGUUGAAACUGAAGAAAUCAAGUUUUAUUCAACCAAUUGAAGGCUGAUUUAAGUCACCACAUCAUUGUAAUGAUUAAUAUAAUGAAAUUCUAAGUGCUUGUGAGGGUUUAUAAGUUACAUGCUGUGUAUUCUCAGUGAUUUCUUUUGUCUAUAAACUGAGUUGGAAAUCCAUAAUGUGUUGACAUGUUGCCAUUAAAACUUAGUUAAACUUUCAGAAAGCAGUUCAGUUGCCUGAUAGUCAAGGAAACUGAUCUCAAGGCUGAACAGAAAGCAAGAGAUCCAACAUCAGUUGCUUCACUGCCAUUCACAAAUCCUCUGCUGUGGCCUCAUGGGAUAGUAAAGUGUUCAUCGUAUGCACACUUCAGAAUCUCACCGGAAAUCAUCCAGGUACUUUUUGCCUACUCUUUUAUGAGUACUUUUGAAUUUGGACAUACUUCUUUUGUCAUAUACUGUUUUUUUUACUGUGUUUUACUAUAUAUUAGGGAAGUGUGUGAUUUCGGAUGCAGCCUGUAUGUCCAGAGAUUUCGGAUUUUGGAGAUAGAGAUUAUGCACCUCCAUUUUUCUAGCAUCCGUUUUGAAAGCCUCGUCACAUACGUGUUUAUGCCUAUGUUGUUACCAAAGUAAUCCAUGCAGAUAGGUUGGUUAUGUCUGGAAACACAAAUCUUAUUUGAUCACUUGCAGUAAAUAGUGCGGACAGUCUGCCUGAAAAGAUCUGAUUUGAGAAAAAAAAUUGAUUUGCCUGCAGUCUGAACAUAGCCACAGAACAUAAGAACUGUGUGAGGGAUAUAUUAUCUAAGCAAAAUAUUGUUUACUGAUGUAAAUAUAUGCAUCUAACUGAACUAAUAAUGUUUUCACCAUAUUAUAUUUACUGGUUAAACUGAAUCAAAAGCAAAAGUAAAAUAGUAUGUGUAGUAUUGAGACUUUGAACUCAGAUUAACAUCAUGUCAUGAUGAAAAGGUUCCCGGAAAGACGAUAACAAAAUCAUGUUUACUGUAAUGCCUGUUUGACAUUAAAUAAAUGGAUAACCAGAAUGAUAUUUGCAUUAUUUAGCUUUAGGUCACGUCACACUUAUGUACUUAUAUAUGGCCUAUAUAUUUCUCAGUGAUAUUUCAGUCUCAUUUAUACUCCCGACAUCAACAUCAUCAUCAUAAAAUCUGUAAAUAUAUUUACUGAAAUAUUAAGAAUUAUCUACAUAAUUUUUGUUGCGAGUGUAAAUAAUUUGUUGUGACAUGGUGAUGCCAUAGGAAAAUGAUUGAAUGAGUGAAUAUUUCAUGAUUUAAUGAUACGGGAGGCACGGUAUGUUUGAGCGCAUGCUCUCAAGAGUCAGCCAUUUUUUUAAUAUCAGCCAAAUAUCAACAACAACAACACAAUGACUACUGCCUAAUAUUCAUAUCAUGUGUAUUUUUAAUGGUGCUCUCAGAUUACAAUGAUGUCACAAUAUUUACAAAAUACUUUCAUGAAAUUGUGUCUGCCAUUGCCUAUGACCUAAAUGAAAAAAUAUUUCAUUGUAAAACAGCUGAUGAGAUUGUUUUGCCAUGAUUUUCUCAUUCUUGUACUGCAUGUCUUUCAGUUUCACUUUUGGCUGCAUCAAGAACAUUCCCACUGACAGAUGGGUGGAGAUAUUAUUUGAAACUUACAUAGAUCUGUGUGGGACACAAUAAAGUCAGUUUGCAUUUAGAAAUUUGAAGAAAAGCAUUAAAGGAUUAGUUCACUUCAGAAUUCAAAUUUCCUGAUAAUUUACUCACCCCCAUGUCAUCCAAGAUGUUUAUGUGUUUCUUUCUUCAGUCGAAAAGAAAUUAAGGUUUUUGAGGAAAACAUUCCAGGAUUUUUCUCCAUAAUAUUCAUUGGCUACCAACGGGUUGAAGGUCCAAAUUGCAGUUUCAGUGCAGCUUCAAAAAGCUCUACAUGAUCCAGACGAGGAAUAAUGGUCUUGUCUAGCAAAAUUAUCUGUCAUUUUCUAAAAAAAAGAAAUAAAUAAUAUACUUUUUAACCACAAAUUCUCGUCUUGCACUGCUCUGCGAUGCGCCACGCAUUAUGUAAUCACGUUAUAAAGAUCAUGCGUGUCGUAGGCAGAAGUACCGAUCCAGUGUCUACAAAGCGAACAUGCAAAGAUUAAGUCAAACGGCCUUUACAAUACAAAAAAAAAAAAAAAAGUAAAAGAAUGACGUCGGAUGAUUUUAAAGUUGGAGGAGAAAAUGAGAUGGAGUUUUUCACCUAUUCAACUUACGGAACGAACGCGGCGCCAGUUCCGUUUUUUCUGUAAGUAGAAUAGGGAAGGCGUAGGACAUACAGCGUAAACUUUUUGAAGAAUACGGAAGGCGGAAUGGCGAAGCACUUGAUCAUUUGUGUUUAUAAAGUAUAUACAAAUACAUAUAUUGAAAGUGGACUAAUCCUUUAAUACACAGUUUACCAAAAAGUGCCCCAAUUGGUGUGCAUUAUAGUGAAGACUACUCAGAACGCAUUUCCUAUCAUGUACACCUAUGAAAGACAACCGGGCCAAUCAGAGUAAGUAUAGGGCGGAGCGACACGUGUAGCUCCACCGCAGGUGCAGCCCCGCCACAUUCAGCAGGCUGCAGUCAUGUCCUUCUCAAGUAUUUAAAUAUGGCAUAUUAUUUAUACAAAAUAAAAUAUUAUAUAUUGAGCAAUAAUAUUUAAAUGAACAAUAAUAUCCAUUGUAAAAGUAUAAUAAGUUUGUACAAUAGAAAAUAAACACAAGCAAAAAGUACAAAAGCAAGCAUCUAGUUAAAUUACAGGAUUUAAGUUAAAUAAAAAUAUAAAGUUAUGAAACUUAACUUUGUCCUUAGCAUAAUCAAUUUCAUCUAUAACAAGUAGAUUAAUAAGGCCAAAGAUUUCCCGUUUGAUAUAGCCUACCCAAAAUGAAUUACAUCAUGUUUAACCACUAUAGUUGUCACGGCUGGGUACUGCUCAGAGACUGUUUAGGAAGAUCCAUGUGCAGCUUUAUUUGUAAGAACAACAUGUCAAAACAUAAUCCAAAUGACAGGCAAAGUUCCAAAACCACAAGAGAUAUGAAAUAACAGUCAUAAGAACAGUACUAGACAAUACAAAACCUCGAUUACAAAUGCAGAAACAAACAACUUAAAUAGACAGACAAAUGACACAAAUGAGAACCAGUUGAGGGCAAUAAACCCAGAGGAGAACUGGGCAAAAGGACUCUGGGAAAUAAAGUUCAUGGCAGAGACACAGUGGAAGGGAAGAGGGAACUACAACUAGACACAGACACACUGGGAAAUAGAAUUCAUAGCAGUGUUGCUGUGGACGGUGAAGGAGUGCCCUCUGUGGAUAACUAGGGCACAACAGCUAGACACUGUGACAAUAGUAGCCUACAUAUGCCAGCGAUCGAAACAAUUUUUCAAAAAGGCGCUAUGUUUAGGCUACAUGUAAAUAGCAUAUCUGAGGUCUAAACAACUACAUUCUCACCUAAAAAAACUCCUAAAACUACAUUCUGUGAGACAAUAACGGUUGUAUUUUAAAAUUAUAGUGCAUUUGCUCUUUUUCAUUGACACUCACUGUGAAAAAUGCUGCCUGUAUAGAUCCAACAGAAACAAGCGGAGUGAUACAAACUGUGAAACAGUUUGCAUGGCUGGUAAGACUUCUCAGCCAAUCGAGGACCAGAUGUAACUGUUGUAUAUAUAUAUAUAUAUAUAUAUAUAUAUAAAUUGUUCUUGUAUCAUGGAGAAAACAACCAACAUAAAAAUGAUAUUGGUUGUUGUGGAUGAAUUUGAAUGAAUGUUUUUAAUGAAUUGAAUGAAUUUUCUGUUUGUUUUGCCCUUUAAAGUUUUUUACUUUCUGUUUCACUUUUAGAACCAUUACUGAGGAAUUGAUGACAGGUAGUGGGUGGUGAUUAUCUUGUGAUGUUUUUUUUUUUUUUUUUUUUGUCUGGCUGUCAAGAUGCUGUUUUCAACACAUUGUUUUAUUGACUUGACAGCAGCAGUGAUGGCUUUUUCAGUUGCUACUUAUGGUAAAGGAAACUUUGGAAAGGUGUAUAAAGUAACCUUUGGAAGUACCUGUGUGGCUCUUAAGAAGGUGCCCUGUACUGUUGCAACUAAAGAAGACAUUCAGAAAGAGAAAAAUAUAUAUCGGUCAUUGAAUAAUUCCAAUGUGGUGAAGCUCCUGGCAGAUCCCUGGCUGGACUCUAAGAGCAUGUGGAAUAUUCCUUUGGAAUUCAUCUCUGGGAAAACUCUGGAAAAACUUAUGUUCAGCUCACAGUCAUACAUAGAGCUAACAAAGCCUGUCAUAAUCACCAUUAUCAAUGGCAUGUGUGAAGGCCUCGCUUACAUGCACAGCAAGAAUAUCGUCCAUCAGGACCUCAAGCCUGACAACAUCAUGGUGGAACACAACACUUAUAGGGCCGUCAUAAUUGACUUAGGACUUGCCAGAUUUCAAAAGAACGGGCUUUGCUUUGGUGCAGAAGGAGGCAAUUGGUGUUACUCUGCUCCGGAGAUUUUCCAAGGAAAAUACAGAGACCAGUACUCUGAUGUGUGGGCGAUGGGGAAAAUUAUAGCAGAGCUCCUGAUCGUGCCCAGAGCGAGACUCCCUCCGACCAUCACCACUCUUCAUGUGAUUGCAGCCAUGAAUAUGAAUCCAUAUGCUUUCCCGGUCUCUAGAAUGGUUAACAAACUUGUUUUAUUCAGACCUGCGAUGGCGCAGAUCUUAGGACAGAUUGAUCAGGCAGGGAGAAAGUGGAUUUUGUAUACUUGCCUUUUUGGGAAUGUAGGAAUGUAGCUAUUUAAAAGAUUCUCUAGAAGCUUAGAUUUGGCAAUGAGUUUAUUACUGACUGACGAACUUCACUAACACAUUUGUUGUGUUCAUGUGCCAGUUGCUCUACUCAACUCGAUGAAGUGUAAAUCUCAAGAAAGUAAAUGACAACAAUUACUAAAAAAAAAAUGCAUUAAGAAACAUCUUUCAGGUUGUGAACUGUAAUCCUAUGGCCAACAAUCAAAAGAGGCCAAAUGUUUUUUAAGUGUAUUUUUGGAUGUUGAGAAUAUACUGUAGUUUUACUGUCCUUUUUGCAGAGAUUAUAUGUGAUGAUAUAGAUUUGAUAUUUUUUUUUCUUUGUUAUAUAUUAUUUAAUUAUGAUCAGUGUCAGUUCAAUAGAAUAAAAACAGAGUUCGUUUGAAAUGUCAAAACAGUGGCAA